This 507-nucleotide long non-coding RNA is filed under the name Salmo salar (Atlantic salmon). RNAcentral describes it as "lncRNA (ENSSSAG00000105988.1)". The record is from RNAcentral. Lineage: Eukaryota; Metazoa; Chordata; Actinopteri; Salmoniformes; Salmonidae.
GGGGAUGAGAGGCCAGAACAUCAGUCUCAUCUUCAUGGAGGAAAUUGAUGUCAGAUGCAGUGAACCUGCUGAGAGAUGAAGGAGGGGAUGAGAGGCCAGAACAUCAGUCUCAUCUUCAUGGAGGACAUUGAUGCCAGAUGCAGUGAACCUGCUGAGAGAUGAAGGAGGGGAUGAGAGGCCAGAACAUCAGUCUCAUCUUCAUGGAGGACAUUGAUGCCAGAUGCAGUGAACCUGCUGAGAGAUGAAGGAGGGGAUGAGAGGCCAGAACAUCAACCUCAUCUUCAUGGAGGACAUUGAUGCCAGAUGCAGCUACAUAGAAACUUUCCUGAAUUGAAUCAUGGGACCAGAUUGGUUGUUCCAGGUUUCCAUGCUGAUGGACAUGACUUGCCAUGUCAGGUACUUGAACAGGAUCAUUAAUAUUAUCAAUGAAAUUCAACACCCGAUAUGUGGAAGGUGCUUGACUGGCAGAUGGGGAGCAGAUGGAGAGGCUGUGGUCGUAUCUGAGGC